CUGGUGGCUCAGAGGUAAAGCCCCUGCCUGCAAUGCAGGAGACCCGGGUUUGAUCCCUCGGUCAG
RNAcentral lists this transfer RNA (65 nucleotides) under Bos taurus (domestic cattle). It matches the Rfam family "tRNA". Rfam says of the family: Transfer RNA (tRNA) molecules are approximately 80 nucleotides in length. Their secondary structure includes four short double-helical elements and three loops (D, anti-codon, and T loops). Lineage: Eukaryota; Metazoa; Chordata; Mammalia; Artiodactyla; Bovidae. The record is from Rfam by way of RNAcentral. RNAcentral also lists the same sequence under 2 other names.